This 28-nucleotide small RNA is filed under the name Bombyx mori (domestic silkworm). RNAcentral's name for it is "ovarian small RNA-16854". The record is from RNAcentral. Lineage: Eukaryota; Metazoa; Arthropoda; Insecta; Lepidoptera; Bombycidae.
GCGAUGCUACAAUAGCCUGGGUAUUUGA